GGUUUUCCCGCGCAAACGCUCACGUUCACCCCCCCCACUACCAUCGUUCUCCCCUCAGCGGGCUCGCUGCCGCCGCCACGGAGGCUUCGCCGCUGCCUGCGAGGGGCGCCGGCGGCCGCCUUGGAGCGCGGCCCCGGAACGGGAAGCGCCGCGGCUGCGCCUGGCUGCCGGGCGAAGGGGGAGGAACGGAGGCCGUGGGGAGGCCUUGCGCCCCCACCUCCCCGCCCCCCGGGACGGCCCCCGCGCGCGCCGCCGCCUCGCGCCCCAGCCGCGUCCCGCGCCGUCCCUCCCCGAGGCCGCUCCCCCCCGCCCCUCACGGCGGCCGCUGCGCUGCCCCGGCCGUGGCCGGGCCCGCCCGGGCGGCCGCGGACACCGGCAGCAGCGACGGGAGGAGGAGUUGCACGGAUUCAAGAGCUUGAGGUCCAAGACACGCAAUAAGUGAUUGUAUUAUGAGUCUCACAGCAUGUCUGUUGGCAGCGCCAAGUACGUGAUCGCAGAACUGAUGCAAACAGAAGAGCGCACGGCUACACCUCUUAAACUGAUCUCAGGGAUAUUUUUACAUGCAAGUGGGUUUAUAUCGUCAUUCCUGUAAAAGCAUUUUGCAUCAUUGCACUCAUUUCACUUGAAAAAUAUUUGGGGGCUGCUCUAAUGCACUGGGAGAUACGGUAUUAACCCAGACCAGCACAACUCGCAUGCAGUGUGCAGGAGGGUGUCUGGGAACAACAGAACAGAGUGAUAAAGAGGCAUCCAUGUUUCCAGCUUUCCCUUUGUCACUGCAAAAAAGUCAUAAAGAUUCACUGGCUUCCUGGAGUUUGUUUUAGGCUUUGCCAAAGUAAACUUUUAUGUCUGUAUGGAAUUGCAUUUGGUGGGGAAAAAAGCAAUGAAGAAUUUCUUUGGGUUAUAUUAAUUGUGGACCACACUGUCUCCCAGAGAAAGAGGGCAUGAACUGAGGACCUACGGUUUUCUCAGCUGCUCUGUGACCCUGGGUAAAGGAUUUCACUAAACAUGACUGUAUUUUGACUGUCACUUAAAAUGGAAAUAAAGAUACUUUCUUGUUAAGCAAU
Strigops habroptila (Kakapo) is the source of this 1064-nucleotide long non-coding RNA. Ensembl lists it as uncharacterized. The record is from Ensembl. NCBI's taxonomy places the organism in Eukaryota, Metazoa, Chordata, Aves, Psittaciformes, Psittacidae.